Non-coding RNA from Schizosaccharomyces pombe (fission yeast), 923 nucleotides. The record is from the annotation of a GenBank genome assembly. NCBI's taxonomy places the organism in Eukaryota, Fungi, Ascomycota, Schizosaccharomycetes, Schizosaccharomycetales, Schizosaccharomycetaceae.
AUCAGAAUAGAUAAUUGUAUCCGACGAAGUCGGAUCGUUAGGCAUUAAGAUCUUGAAGAUAUUCCCAUCUAAAGUACAACCCAUCAAUCCCCAAACAAUAUUAUGAUUAUCUUUAUCCACCCGAAUAACUGAAUACUUUAAAUGGUUAGUUAAGGCAUUUGUUUUUGUUUGAGACACUGUAGUAAGAAUUGGCUGGAGCAUUUGUUCUCUGGUAGACGUGCAAACUUCACCCUCAACUUUGAAACAAGUUAAUAACCGGUCUUUGUCACAAGAAAACAAUAAUUUUUUUUGUGAAAUGUAAAAGCAAUCAAUGCCUAGUCUCGAUGAUGUGUCGCUGCAAACUAAAUUAAGGGAGUUGUUUUCACUAUCAUACUGGAACACGGCAACAGAAUCUCUUAAACUAGAAGUGUACACAUAGUCCUUAUACGUUGACAUCGAUACAAUGGGAGACCGAACAGGUAACUCACAAUCACUGUUGCAAAACUUCUUUGAGUCUAAGUCCAACAUCUUUACACCAAUCUUUCGUCCUGUUGCAUAACACAAUCCAUGUUUUCCGAUCGAACAAACGGAAUAAAUAGGGUCUUUCAUAUUAAUUGUGAUGACAUUGCGAAGUUCUAUAGCAUUGCUGUCAUGAUCUUUAUUCAUGGUAAGAAUUAACAAACGACCUGUAGUUAAUCCGUUUUUUCGUACCCCUGUUCCUAUACAAAGGUACCUAUAUUUUCUUUUUUGAUCGUCGGCUACAAUCCAAACUAAAUAAUCGUUAGGUGAUUAAAGUAAAGCUAACUUACAAGACAUAGAAUAUAAUAAUUCCUCCGGUUUGAAUAUUGGUUUACCUUUAAUAUCCAUUGAAGGCCAAUUGACAGGGAAAAGUCGCGAGCUGUGUAAUUGUUAGUAGGCACUAGAAACACGUAACUCACUUAGUC